Molecule: ribosomal RNA, 472 nt
Filed under: uncultured bacterium
Lineage: Bacteria
Description: bacterial SSU rRNA
Rfam family: Bacterial small subunit ribosomal RNA
Source: RNAcentral
UGGGGAAUUUUGGACAAUGGGCGCAAGCCUGAUCCAGCCAUACCGCGUGAGUGAAGAAGGCCUUCGGGUUGUAAAGCUCUUUCAGACGGAAAGAAACGGUUACGGCUAAUACCCGUGACUAAUGACGGUACCGUAAGAAGAAGCACCGGCUAACUACGUGCCAGCAGCCGCGGUAAUACGUAGGGUGCGAGCGUUAAUCGGAAUUACUGGGCGUAAAGCGUGCGUAGAUGGCCGAUUAAGUCGGAUGUGAAAGCCCCGGGCUCAACCUGGGAACGGCAUCCGAUACUGGUGGGCUAGAGUGCGGUAGAGGAGAGCGGAAUUCCCGGUGUAGCGGUGAAAUGCGUAGAGAUCGGGAGGAACAUCCGUGGCGAAGGCGGCUCUCUGGACCAGCACUGACGUUGAGGCACGAAAGCGUGGGGAGCAAACAGGAUUAGAUACCCGAGUAGUCCCUGAGCGGGCUGGCAAGGCGCAU